This 55-nucleotide transfer RNA is filed under the name Strongyloides sp. EN-2020a. Its description in RNAcentral is "tRNA-Pro". Lineage: Eukaryota; Metazoa; Nematoda; Chromadorea; Rhabditida; Strongyloididae. The record is from RNAcentral.
CAGUAAUUAGUUUAAUUUAAAAUAUAGCAUUUGGAUUGCUAAGUUUUUUUACUGA